This 899-nucleotide ribosomal RNA is filed under the name uncultured bacterium. RNAcentral describes it as "bacterial SSU rRNA". It matches the Rfam family "Bacterial small subunit ribosomal RNA", at positions 33 to 915 of the family's 1533-position model. The record is from RNAcentral.
ACGCUGGCGGCGUGCCUAAUACAUGCAAGUAGAACGCUGAAGGAGGAGCUUGCUUCUCUGGAUGAGUUGCGAACGGGUGAGUAACGCGUAGGUAACCUGCCUGGUAGCGGGGGAUAACUAUUGGAAACGAUAGCUAAUACCGCAUAACAGUAGAUGUUGCAUGACAUUUGCUUAAAAGGUGCAAUUGCAUCACUACCAGAUGGACCUGCGUUGUAUUGGCUAGUUGGUGGGGUAACGGCUCACCAAGGCGACGAUACAUAGCCGACCUGAGAGGGUGAUCGGCCACACUGGGACUGAGACACGGCCCAGACUCCUACGGGAGGCAGCAGUAGGGAAUCUUCGGCAAUGGACGGAAGUCUGACCGAGCAACGCCGCGUGAGUGAAGAAGGUUUUCGGAUCGUAAAGCUCUGUUGUAAGAGAAGAACAGGUGUGAGAGUGGAAAGUUCACACUGUGACGGUAUCUUACCAGAAAGGGACGGCUAACUACGUGCCAGCAGCCGCGGUAAUACGUAGGUCCCGAGCGUUGUCCGGAUUUAUUGGGCGUAAAGCGAGCGCAGGCGGUUAGAUAAGUCUGAAGUUAAAGGCUGUGGCUUAACCAUAGUACGCUUUGGAAACUGUUUAACUUGAGUGCAAGAGGGGAGAGUGGAAUUCCAUGUGUAGCGGUGAAAUGCGUAGAUAUAUGGAGGAACACCGGUGGCGAAAGCGGCUCUCUGGCUUGUAACUGACGCUGAGGCUCGAAAGCGUGGGGAGCAAACAGGAUUAGAUACCCCUGGUAGUCCACGCCGUAAACGAUGAGUGCUAGGUGUUAGACCCUUUCCGGGGUUUAGUGCCGCAGCUAACGCAUUAAGCACUCCGCCUGGGGAGUACGACCGCAAGGUUGAAACUCAAAGGAAUUGACG